This 468-nucleotide ribosomal RNA is filed under the name uncultured bacterium. RNAcentral's name for it is "partial 16S ribosomal RNA". It matches the Rfam family "Bacterial small subunit ribosomal RNA", at positions 28 to 507 of the family's 1533-position model. The record is from RNAcentral.
GACGAACGCUGGCGGCGUGCUUAACACAUGCAAGUCGAACGGAAAGGCCCUGCUUUUGUGGGGUGCUCGAGUGGCGAACGGGUGAGUAACACGUGAGUAACCUGCCCUUGACUUUGGGAUAACUUCAGGAAACUGGGGCUAAUACCGGAUAGGAGCUCCUGCUGCAUGGUGGGGGUGGGAAAGUUUCGGCGGUUGGGGAUGGACUCGCGGCUUAUCAGCUUGUUGGUGGGGUAGUGGCUUACCAAGGCUUUGACGGGUAGCCGGCCUGAGAGGGUGACCGGCCACAUUGGGACUGAGAUACGGCCCAGAGUCCUACGGGAGGCAGCAGUGGGGAAUAUUGCACAAUGGGCGGAAGCCUGAUGCAGCAACGCCGCGUGCGGGAUGACGGCCUUCGGGUUGUAAACCGCUUUCGCCUGUGACGAAGCGUGAGUGACGGUAAUGGGUAAAGAAGCACCGGCUAACUACGUG